This 34-nucleotide small RNA is filed under the name Arabidopsis thaliana (thale cress). Its description in RNAcentral is "ATSL237390". Lineage: Eukaryota; Viridiplantae; Streptophyta; Magnoliopsida; Brassicales; Brassicaceae. The record is from RNAcentral.
UUUUUUUUUGGUUUUCAGAUCUUCUGUUUUUUUG